Molecule: ribosomal RNA, 305 nt
Filed under: uncultured bacterium
Lineage: Bacteria
Description: bacterial SSU rRNA
Rfam family: Bacterial small subunit ribosomal RNA
Source: RNAcentral
CUGACCUACGGGACGCAGCAGUGGGGAAUAUUGCACAAUGGGGGAAACCCUGAUGCAGCAACGCCGCGUGAAGGAAGACGGUUUUCGGAUUGUAAACUUCUGUUCUUAGUGAAGAAAAAUGACGGUAGCUAAGGAGCAAGCCACGGCUAACUACGUGCCAGCAGCCGCGGUAAUACGUAGGUGGCAAGCGUUGUCCGGAAUUACUGGGUGUAAAGGGAGCGCAGGCGGGAAGUCAAGUCAGCUGUGAAAAAUACGGGCUUAACUUGUAGACUGCCGGUGAAACUGGUUUUCUUGAGUGAAGGAGG